RNAcentral lists this ribosomal RNA (467 nucleotides) under uncultured bacterium. RNAcentral describes it as "partial 16S ribosomal RNA". It matches the Rfam family "Bacterial small subunit ribosomal RNA", at positions 38 to 507 of the family's 1533-position model. The record is from RNAcentral.
GAAGAAAGAGGGGGGCGUGCUUAACACAUGCAAGUCGAACGGAAAGGCUCCAGCUUGCUGGAGUACUCGAGUGGCGAACGGGUGAGUAACACGUGGGUAAUCUGCCCUGCACUCUGGGAUAAGCCUGGGAAACUGGGUCUAAUACUGGAUAUGACCUUUCUCCUUAUGGGGUUUGGUGGAAAGUUUUUCGGUGUAGGAUGAGCCCGCGGCCUAUCAGCUUGUUGGUGGGGUGAUGGCCUACCAAGGCGACGACGGGUAGCCGGCCUGAGAGGGUGAUCGGCCACAUUGGGACUGAGAUACGGCCCAGACUCCUACGGGAGGCAGCAGUGGGGAAUAUUGCACAAUGGGCGGAAGCCUGAUGCAGCGACGCCGCGUGAGGGAUGACGGCCUUCGGGUUGUAAACCUCUUUCAGCAGGGACGAAGCGUAAGUGACGGUACCUGCAGAAGAAGCACCGGCUAACUAUGUG